RNAcentral lists this microRNA precursor (99 nucleotides) under Anopheles christyi. RNAcentral's name for it is "microRNA mir-241". Lineage: Eukaryota; Metazoa; Arthropoda; Insecta; Diptera; Culicidae. The record is from RNAcentral.
AAAGGGUGGAGCAAUGAUUGUGAGUGAGCUGAAUGAUAAAUGAAAAUAAUAUUUUCAUUUAUCAUUCAGCUCACUCACAAUCAUUGCUCCACCCUUUUU